UUUCAACAACGGAUCUCUUGGUUCUGGCAUCGAUGAAGAACGCAGCAAAAUGCGAUAAGUAAUGUGAAUUGCAGAAUUCAGUGAAUCAUCGAAUCUUUGAACGCACAUUGCGCCCGCCAGUAUUCUGGCGGGCAUGCCUGUUCGAGCGUCAUUUCAACCCUCAAGCUC
RNAcentral lists this ribosomal RNA (168 nucleotides) under Fusarium sp. 6521. Its description in RNAcentral is "5.8S ribosomal RNA". The stretch from base 1 to 151 matches the Rfam family "5.8S ribosomal RNA". Rfam says of the family: 5.8S ribosomal RNA (5.8S rRNA) is a component of the large subunit of the eukaryotic ribosome. It is transcribed by RNA polymerase I as part of the 45S precursor that also contains 18S and 28S rRNA. Functionally, it is thought that 5.8S rRNA may be involved in ribosome translocation. Lineage: Eukaryota; Fungi; Ascomycota; Sordariomycetes; Hypocreales; Nectriaceae. The record is from RNAcentral.